AUUGCUUCUCAGCCUUUUGGCUAAGAUCAAGUAUAGUAACUUCUUAUCAGUUUAAAAACAUUUUUAAGUUAGGGUUUGGCCUAAAUUUUUAUCAAGUCCUUCUUGCACGUUUAUAGAAAUGUCCAUACAUAUU
This 133-nucleotide small nuclear RNA is filed under the name Fukomys damarensis (Damara mole-rat). RNAcentral describes it as "U2 spliceosomal RNA". It matches the Rfam family "U2 spliceosomal RNA". Rfam says of the family: U2 is a small nuclear RNA (snRNA) component of the spliceosome (involved in pre-mRNA splicing). Complementary binding between U2 snRNA (in an area lying towards the 5' end but 3' to hairpin I) and the branchpoint sequence (BPS) of the intron results the bulging out of an unpaired adenosine, on the BPS, which initiates a nucleophilic attack at the intronic 5' splice site, thus starting the first of two transesterification reactions that mediate splicing. The record is from Rfam by way of RNAcentral. Lineage: Eukaryota; Metazoa; Chordata; Mammalia; Rodentia; Bathyergidae.